ACUUAAUCCUCCAACUGGAACAGCUGUCACUUAAUGCAAUUGACACUUAGGCUUGGGGACCCAUUUUAACUGAAGAGCUGUUAACCCUAACAGUGUUAGCCAAAUUUUCUUCUCAGACAUCCACUGAUACCCAGCCUCCAGCCUCACGCCUCUCUCUCUCAUCCCCUCCACCUUUGUCUUGGUUUUCUCAGCAAACUCAGACCGGCGAGCUCUUGUGAGGCGAAUCGACGGCGGCGGUUCUGACCGGCAAGAGCUUGUGAGGCGGAAUGGACGGCGGCCACACCUCUGUUUUUCUCCGAACCUCAGACCGGCAAGAGAAUCCGGCCACCCACUGCACACGCCGUUCCUCCACCGAUUCCGCUCCAUCCCUUCUCUCUCUUUGCCAUUCCCAUCUCUUCGCCGCCAAGGACCACCGAUCCUACCACCCAUCUUUUCAAGGCUCCGAUUUUUAUAAGAGAGCAAAUUGAAAUCUCUUCUCCCACUUGACAACAUCUGUUCUGCAACAUCAUCUUUACCCUUAAUCGGUAAAGGUCCGAUGUUCCUAUAUGAAAUUUUUAAAGAGAAACGCUGUUUAAUUUCAGAAGAGAGCAAACUGAAAUCUCUUUUCCCACUUGAUGAUAUCAGUUCUACAGCAUCAUCUUCUCUCUUAAUCGAUGCUAGUCCAUAUCAUAUGAAGCACAGUGCAUUUAAGCUCAAGAAUGCUAUUAUGCAGCAACAAUAUAAACUCUGUUUACAGAACAAGUGCAACUUUAAGUUCUUUCUCAUAAUGUGGACCUUAAGGGUUAAAAGUGAGAUCCAGAAGACUUAAAUGGACAAGAAGAUUAAUAUUUGCACAGUUCGCGACUGAGGAUAGCUGCUAUAUAAGAGUAAUAGGGAUGAUGGUUAGUUCAGAAGAGAUGUGCAAUCCCCAUGGAGAAAAGCUGCAUUUUUGAAGUGCUUUCUGUGUCUACAAACUUGCCUAAUUGUUCUUUCUCUGGCUACCUAGUCUCUUAAACACAGGUUUUGGGGUAGCUUGAAUGUUGAUUCUGGACCCAAGGCCCUUCUUGAUGUAAUUUCUGAGGAUAGUAGCAAGUCCUCUUCCUUUGUAUUGCCUUGAUGUUCACUGCUUUGUAUUUUAAUAAAAUGUUUUUCUCAUAGCAAAGAAAAAUGAUACAACACCUUGCCAC
Molecule: long non-coding RNA, 1166 nt
Organism: Quercus robur (English oak)
Lineage: Eukaryota; Viridiplantae; Streptophyta; Magnoliopsida; Fagales; Fagaceae
Exons: 2
Source: RefSeq, a predicted model, not a curated record